RNAcentral lists this transfer RNA (69 nucleotides) under Monotaxis grandoculis (humpnose big-eye bream). Its description in RNAcentral is "tRNA-Pro". It matches the Rfam family "tRNA". From Rfam's summary of the family: Transfer RNA (tRNA) molecules are approximately 80 nucleotides in length. Their secondary structure includes four short double-helical elements and three loops (D, anti-codon, and T loops). Lineage: Eukaryota; Metazoa; Chordata; Actinopteri; Spariformes; Lethrinidae. The record is from RNAcentral.
CAAAGAAUAGUUUAAUUAGAAUGUUAGCUUUGGGAGCUUUUGGCAGAGGUGAAAGUCCUCUUUCUUUGA